RNAcentral lists this ribosomal RNA (748 nucleotides) under Vibrio sp. COH-25. Its description in RNAcentral is "bacterial SSU rRNA". It matches the Rfam family "Bacterial small subunit ribosomal RNA", at positions 51 to 778 of the family's 1533-position model. Lineage: Bacteria; Pseudomonadati; Pseudomonadota; Gammaproteobacteria; Vibrionales; Vibrionaceae. RNAcentral also lists the same sequence under 2 other names. The record is from RNAcentral.
ACACAUGCAAGUCGAGCGGAAACGACACUAACAAUCCUUCGGGUGCGUUAAUGGGCGUCGAGCGGCGGACGGGUGAGUAAUGCCUAGGAAAUUGCCUUGAUGUGGGGGAUAACCAUUGGAAACGAUGGCUAAUACCGCAUGAUGCCUACGGGCCAAAGAGGGGGACCUUCGGGCCUCUCGCGUCAAGAUAUGCCUAGGUGGGAUUAGCUAGUUGGUGAGGUAAUGGCUCACCAAGGCGACGAUCCCUAGCUGGUCUGAGAGGAUGAUCAGCCACACUGGAACUGAGACACGGUCCAGACUCCUACGGGAGGCAGCAGUGGGGAAUAUUGCACAAUGGGCGAAAGCCUGAUGCAGCCAUGCCGCGUGUAUGAAGAAGGCCUUCGGGUUGUAAAGUACUUUCAGUUGUGAGGAAGGGUGUGUAGUUAAUAGCUGCGCAUCUUGACGUUAGCAACAGAAGAAGCACCGGCUAACUCCGUGCCAGCAGCCGCGGUAAUACGGAGGGUGCGAGCGUUAAUCGGAAUUACUGGGCGUAAAGCGCAUGCAGGUGGUUCAUUAAGUCAGAUGUGAAAGCCCGGGGCUCAACCUCGGAACUGCAUUUGAAACUGGUGAACUAGAGUACUGUAGAGGGGGGUAGAAUUUCAGGUGUAGCGGUGAAAUGCGUAGAGAUCUGAAGGAAUACCAGUGGCGAAGGCGGCCCCCUGGACAGAUACUGACACUCAGAUGCGAAAGCGUGGGGAGCAAACAGGAU